This 443-nucleotide ribosomal RNA is filed under the name uncultured bacterium. Its description in RNAcentral is "partial 16S ribosomal RNA". It matches the Rfam family "Bacterial small subunit ribosomal RNA", at positions 338 to 795 of the family's 1533-position model. The record is from RNAcentral.
CCUACGGGUGGCAGCAGUGGGGAAUAUUGGGCAAUGGGCGCAAGCCUGACCCAGCAACGCCGCGUGAAGGAAGAAGGCUUUCGGGGUGUAAAGUUCUGUUAGGAGGGACGAAGGAAGUGACGGUACCGCAGGAAUAAGCCACGGCUAACUACGGGCCAGCAGCCGCGGUAAUACGGAGGUGGCAAGCGUUUGCCGGAUUUAUGGGGGGUAAAGGGCGUGUCGGCGGGAACGAAAGUCAGGUGUGAAAACUCAGGGCCCAACCCUGAGCCUGCAUUUGAAACUGUUUUUCUUGAGUGCUGGAGAGGCAAUCGGAAUUCCGUGUGUAGCGGUGAAAUGCGUAGAUAUACGGAGGAACACCAGUGGCGAAGGCGGCUUGCUGGACCGUAACUGACGCUGAGGCGCGAAAGCGUGGGGAGCAAACAGGAUUAGAUACCCUUGUAGUC